RNAcentral lists this ribosomal RNA (253 nucleotides) under uncultured bacterium. Its description in RNAcentral is "partial 16S ribosomal RNA". It matches the Rfam family "Bacterial small subunit ribosomal RNA", at positions 524 to 776 of the family's 1533-position model. The record is from RNAcentral.
UACGUAGGGUGCAAGCGUUAAUCGGAAUUACUGGGCGUAAAGCGUGCGCAGGCGGUUGUGCAAGACAGAUGUGAAAUCCCCGGGCUUAACCUGGGAACUGCAUUUGUGACUGCACGGCUAGAGUGUGUCAGAGGGGGGUAGAAUUCCACGUGUAGCAGUGAAAUGCGUAGAUAUGUGGAGGAACACCGAUGGCGAAGGCAGCCCCCUGGGUUAACACUGACGCUCAUGCACGAAAGCGUGGGGAGCAAACAGG